GCCUAGGUGGCUCAGUGGUAAAGCGUCUCCUUGGUAAGGAGAAGAUCGCGAGUCCGAUUCUCGCCCUAGGCU
Candidatus Parvarchaeum acidophilus ARMAN-5 is the source of this 72-nucleotide non-coding RNA. NCBI's taxonomy places the organism in Archaea, Nanobdellati, Candidatus Parvarchaeota. The record is from Rfam.